RNAcentral lists this ribosomal RNA (539 nucleotides) under Burkholderia cepacia. RNAcentral's name for it is "bacterial SSU rRNA". It matches the Rfam family "Bacterial small subunit ribosomal RNA", at positions 382 to 916 of the family's 1533-position model. The record is from RNAcentral. Lineage: Bacteria; Pseudomonadati; Pseudomonadota; Betaproteobacteria; Burkholderiales; Burkholderiaceae.
CCUGAUCCAGCAAUGCCGCGUGUGUGAAGAAGGCCUUCGGGUUGUAAAGCACUUUUGUCCGGAAAGAAAUCCUUGGCUCUAAUACAGUCGGGGGAUGACGGUACCGGAAGAAUAAGCACCGGCUAACUACGUGCCAGCAGCCGCGGUAAUACGUAGGGUGCAAGCGUUAAUCGGAAUUACUGGGCGUAAAGCGUGCGCAGGCGGUUUGCUAAGACCGAUGUGAAAUCCCCGGGCUCAACCUGGGAACUGCAUUGGUGACUGGCAGGCUAGAGUAUGGCAGAGGGGGGUAGAAUUCCACGUGUAGCAGUGAAAUGCGUAGAGAUGUGGAGGAAUACCGAUGGCGAAGGCAGCCCCUGGGCCAAUACUGACGCUCAUGCACGAAAGCGUGGGGAGCAAACAGGAUUAGAUACCCUGGUAGUCCACGCCCUAAACGAUGUCAACUAGUUGUUGGGGAUUCAUUUCCUUAGUAACGUAGCUAACGCGUGAAGUGACCGCCUGGGGAGUACGGUCGCAAGAUUAAAACUCAAAGGAAUUGACGG